CUAUAACUUUCAAUUCAGUGAUCCAUUAGCUCAAAUUUUUUCCCAAAAGCCUCGACACAGCUAACUAUUGAUCCGAAAAUCCUGCCUAUUGUCAUCUUAAAGCACCCAUGCCUUUUCCAUUCUCCUUCGUUUUCAACAGCAGACGCACAACUCCAACAAUAUUUACCCAGAAAAGAACUAACCCAAUUCCCAAAUCUUCCGCUUAAAUUUCCUCUUUUCUACCUCAAAUUCGUACAGCAAGAGCGUGCUUGGCAUGAGACCAAACACACGCGGAGUCUGAGCCUCUAAGAAAAAUUUUCAAAAUAUUGGUUUCUCUCACAUAGAAAGUAUUCUCAGAAUUUGGAGGUUUUGGGUGCUAUAAAAGCCCCUCUCCUCACUGUUCAAGCGAGGUUUUUGGACUCGAGAGUAGUACCCCUAUAAUGUUUGGGACUUCUCAGUUCAAUAAUUUAAAGUUUUGUGGUUGUUCGAGUUGAAGAGGUGGAAUCGUUUCUAUUCAAACUCGUUGUUCGGUUCGCUGCUCAGAGCUAGUGGCAUCCGAACGAGUCCGAUGGACUCCCCUCUCUUGCAUUUCCCUCUUCUUCAAGUUGACCUCCAUUCGAGUUAUGAAAGGGAAGCAUUAAUUAAUGGGUCAAAACCCAAAUCAGUGGCAGCAACUAAGUGGCGCAGUAAUAAAAAUUCAAACGGCUGGAAAUUGAAUUUUGGAUUUAAGAAUCCAAUUUGAUUAUUGCAGUAGUAGCAGCAGACCCAAGGGGACUAAAAUUGAAUCUUUGGACUUAAAUAAUUACUACUUGAGUAACCAGCAGUAGCAGGAGGAACCAGAAAGGGGCCAAAAUGCCCUUUUCAUCCAGCCAGUUACUUUAUUUCAUUGUUUUUUACUCUAUUUGUGAAUAUAUCUUGGUAAUCACUAACUUUUAAUAUUUUAUUUUUGUCAACUUAAAUGAAUCCUUGAAGAAGUUUUUCUAUUU
Molecule: long non-coding RNA, 965 nt
Organism: Solanum pennellii
Lineage: Eukaryota; Viridiplantae; Streptophyta; Magnoliopsida; Solanales; Solanaceae
Exons: 2
Source: RefSeq, a predicted model, not a curated record